GCGGAGCAGUCUUUACAUUUCACUGCACAUCUGCUGAGCAUGUGACAAAUCUUGAAUCUCCCUUGUCCUGGUACUCAGUCUUCCUCUCCCUCGUGCAGGCAUUGUAUUUACUUUCUUUAUGUUGCUCUAUAUUGUUCCUUUUCCACACAAGAUCAGCCCAAAGAGGUCCUUUUUUACUGUAUAACAUGUAGGCAUGCGAUUGAAAGAACCUCAACACCUGAGUGUGUUCCUAUGGGAUUCCGCUGUGAUUGAGCUUUUUGCAUAACUUGAAUAAGCUGUUUCUCAGUAGCAAUGGAAAAAAAUACAGGGGAUAUAUACAGUAAUGGGUGCAGGGCCAAAUGUCUCUGGAUGCUGCAACCAUUUAGAGCACAGAGAUUUGUGACAGCAGGAGGCUGACUUCAUCAGUACAGUCGUUUUAGCUUCUGAUUUUUAUGGCUGACAUCUAUGAAUCAACUUAUGUCCAGUUUGAUUAACACUGACGCAAUGGCAGAGUGGCAGCCAUCUUGGUUUAUCUGAAUCCUAUUGAAUAAAAACCUGUCUAAAUCAGUGAGGGGCGAGUCAGACUACAUCAGGUGGGUUACAGGUUUUAUCUAGUGAAUAAACAAGAAAGUGACACUAAGGCUAUAUUUACUAUAGUGUGAUUUCAUGAUCAAGUACCAUUGGUGUGGUCUCCAUCAUAAAAAGCAGUGUAUCUACCAAAUUAAUCAUUACAGAUUUUGUUUCCCCUUUACGUUCUCCCAGAGACAGAAAAGCUGUAAAUAAGAAUCUGCUCUCUCUCCACUAUAACUGACUUGAUGGAAAUAAUUUCACUUCUUUUACUUAUGACUGAGAGAAAGCACCAACUCAGCGACUCUGCUUGCCCUGGGAUUGGCACACAACCCUUGUCAGUGUUUAUCAGUAACUAUGUUUUGGCUAUCUACAGAGUUAAUGCUCCACCAGUGUUGCUUAGGAGGUAAUAAUGGCUCACAGCAAAAGGCCUGUAAAUUAAAACCAUACACACAGAGUCAGGUACCCAAACUUAACAGGAAGUCUUAAGGUUGCCAUAGAGAACAAAGGCACUAAACCCAAAACAAGUACACGACAAGUGUUUGAACAAUCUAUUCACCUCUGGAGUCCCAACAGCAGAGCAGCACACUGUGGGGUCUUGUAUUUUGACAAAAUCAUGGGUUGCAACACGAGCAGCGGCAGCACGGUGGUGGAUCCCUCUGAGAAGCCAGAGGAGAGACCAAAGACAGCUGCUUCAACCAAGGAGGCGUCUACAGAGGAAACGAAUGGAACAACGGUCGAAGACAAGGAUGAAAAGACGGAAAGUUCCAGCUGAUCUUCAAACCUCAUUGUGAGCUACUCUCAAAUGUGUACAGAUUGGCCUGUCAGGGGUGAAGGAGGGCCUGUCAGCAGGAGGAGGAGGAGGAGGCAAUGCUGCACUACUGUCCAUCAACCUUUGUGUCAUCUGGGCCAGCAACACACACAAAUACACACACUUCUGAAUACAUACAGCUCCUGUGUUCACAAUGCUUAAACUUUUUGUGAUAAAUACACUAGUCAAAUACCA
Molecule: non-coding RNA, 1552 nt
Organism: Labrus bergylta (ballan wrasse)
Lineage: Eukaryota; Metazoa; Chordata; Actinopteri; Labriformes; Labridae
Source: RefSeq, a predicted model, not a curated record